RNAcentral lists this ribosomal RNA (465 nucleotides) under uncultured bacterium. Its description in RNAcentral is "partial 16S ribosomal RNA". It matches the Rfam family "Bacterial small subunit ribosomal RNA", at positions 338 to 795 of the family's 1533-position model. The record is from RNAcentral.
CCUACGGGUGGCAGCAGUGGGGAAUAUUGCGCAAUGGGCGAAAGCCUGACGCAGCGACGCCGCGUGAGGGAUGAAGGUCUUCGGAUCGUAAACCUCUGUCAGCAGGGAAGAACGGUCACUGUGCUAAUCAGCAGUGAAUUGACGGUACCUGCAAAGGACGCACCGGCUAACUCCGUGCCAGCAGCCGCGGUAAUACGGAGGGUGCGAGCGUUAAUCGGAAUUACUGGGCUUAAAGGGCUCGUAGGCGGUAUGUCAAGUGAAGGGUGAAAUCGCCGGGCUCAACGUGGGAAGUGCCUUUGAAACUGGGUACCUGGAGUGGGCGAGAGGCAGGCGGAAUGCCUGGUGUAGCGGUGAAAUGCAUAGAUAUCGCGCGGAACUCCGACGGCGAAGGCGGCAUGCUGGCUCCACACUGACGUUGAGGCUCGAAAGCGUGGGUAGCGAACAGGAUUAGAUACCCUUGUAGUC